AAUGACGUCAGGAAGUUUCCUAUCUAGUUAUUUUACAAUCCGUGAUAAAACUAAACUGCCUUUAAUUAAAUGGCUUUAUCGAUAAAUUUUGAGUUUCCAAUAAAAUGAUUUCAAAUUCUCGCAUGCAUAAAAAAGGGAAUCAAUAUUAAUAUAAAUACACUGAAAUUAUAUGCUGUCUUGUUUAGUUGUUUCAUAUACGCAAAGUGCCAACGGCCAUUGGGUUUUAAAGCAAUUAUAAAAUCAAUAUUUAAAACAAACUUCGCUAAUGCUUUCGUUUCCCCGGGUGUAAAUAGCCGGGGGAUUAGUCCCCUCGCACGGCGCUUCGCGCCGUCGGCUCGGGGAUUGGAAAUAGAAUGGAAGAGAACACGGCCCACAUGACUGUUCCGAAUUGUUCUGACUACCCCGAUAACUACUUCGAUCGAGUUUUCGAACCUUGCGGCAGGCUAUUUUGAUGCUAAUUGAUGCGUUGUUUUUAAAUCCUGCGCAAAAUCAUAUUUGAAGGCUUAUAUUAUGACUUUGGG
Non-coding RNA from Paramuricea clavata, 521 nucleotides. NCBI's taxonomy places the organism in Eukaryota, Metazoa, Cnidaria, Anthozoa, Malacalcyonacea, Plexauridae. The record is from the annotation of a GenBank genome assembly.